UGAACGCUAGCUACAGGCUUAACACAUGCAAGUCGAGGGGCAGCAUGAUCGAAGCUUGCUUUGAUGAUGGCGACCGGCGCACGGGUGAGUAACGCGUAUCCAACCUUCCCUAUAGUAGAGGAUAGCCCGGCGAAAGUCGGAUUAAUACUCUAUGUUUUCCGAAGCAGACAUCUAAUUUGGAACAAAAGGUUCACCGCUAUAGGAUGGGGAUGCGUCUGAUUAGGUAGUCGGCGGGGUAACGGCCCACCGAGCCAACGAUCAGUAGGGGUUCUGAGAGGAAGGUCCCCCACAUUGGAACUGAGACACGGUCCAAACUCCUACGGGAGGCAGCAGUGAGGAAUAUUGGUCAAUGGGCGAGAGCCUGAACCAGCCAAAAGUAGCGUGCAGGAUGACGGCCCUAUGGGUUGUAAACUGCUUUUAUACGGGGAUAAAGUGAGGGACGUGUCCCUUUUUGUAGGUACCGUAUGAAUAAGGACCGGCUAAUUCCGUGCCAGCCGCCGC
Molecule: ribosomal RNA, 501 nt
Filed under: uncultured bacterium
Lineage: Bacteria
Description: bacterial SSU rRNA
Rfam family: Bacterial small subunit ribosomal RNA
Source: RNAcentral